GGAAAACUGGAAGGCAGAGCCAGCACUGAGUCUACAGAACCAGGGAAGAGCCAUCACAGGUGGGCAGCUGACACUCGGAUAUUCCAAAACUGUGGGGAGAGGAUUCCAUGUGAAGCGUGUGCACAUUUGAAAGAACUUGGUGAAAAAAGACAGCAGUCCACACUGGCUCCAUUUUUUCUGCAAGAGGGUCUGCUUAAAGGAGAGAUGGAAAUGCCAUUGUGACUGGGCUAAGCUGCUGCCCAGGCCAAACGGGCUGCAGGGGAGUGGAGAUGCUGAGGAGCUGAAUGACCCCACCAGCACACGCAAAGCUGGAGCAGCAUCCUGCACCCUCCUUUGCUCAUCCCUCCUCUUCAAAGAUAAACUCUGCUGGCGGCGACAGGUACAGUGAAUACUGCCCCAGCCCAGAGUGAGCAGCCCUGUGGCUCCACCCAGUUGCCUGUGGAGACCCCUCCCACACCCGCCAGCCUCACCUACGGGUGAAUCCCAGCAUGGCACUGUUCCUGGCGUGUUUGCUCAGCUCGGGCUCAGACAGCAGGCUCCAGCAGCUGCACAGGCCAACUUCUGGCUGCAUGGGGCUUUGUCCCCAGCACCACCCUUCACUGUGUUGCACCUGCCGUGGGAUGACGCAGGGGUGCCCCACAGAGAGCCUUUUCUGUUCAUGCACCUGGGAGGGGUGGGCAGACCCUGGAGCAGACCCACGGGCACAGGGUAAGGGCCUGGCUCCCCUCAAGGAGCCAGCCAGACUGGCGAGCCAUGGACACUGCUGGAAGGGAGGGUCCCGUAGCUCAGCUCUUGCCAGCAUGGGUUCCUUGGUUUUUUUCACCUCCAAUGGUGGGAGGUGCUACCUUAUUGUGGUUCUUAUGUGGAUCUCCCUGAUGGUGGGCAAGGGUCGGCCCCUUUUCACAGGUUCAUUAGUGGCUAGAGAAGGUCAUCAGAAAACCCCGCUCAGGUUUGGUCCUCCUUUCCAUAUUGAUCUGCAGUUCUUUGUCUCUUCUUCACAGGAGCCUUUCAUCACAUGCAGCAGAGAUCUCUCUUCCCAUGGUGUAUUUUGAUGAGUAGAGUUAUAAAUUUUAAUAUCUCCCAGUUCUCUAUGGUUACGCUUUCUGGGACCUCUUGGCAACAAAGACAUUUUCUAGUGUUGUGGUCCUUGUGAGCCUUUUAAUUUUAUCUUCCCAUUUGAUCUUCUGUCCACUGAAAUUGCCUCUGUGCAUAACAAAAGUCGAGAUUACCAUAUUUUGUGCUGGGCGGGUGGUGUGUCCCUGUGGUCCCAGCUACCCAGAGGCUGAGGAAGGAGGAUGGCUUGAUCCCAGGAGGUAAGGCCAUCCUGGGUAUGACCCCCUCCAAAGAAAAGGAAG
RNAcentral lists this long non-coding RNA (1355 nucleotides) under Marmota monax (woodchuck). Lineage: Eukaryota; Metazoa; Chordata; Mammalia; Rodentia; Sciuridae. The record is from RNAcentral.